AUGCUUUUGCAUUCUUAUGAUGAACCAACUUUAUGCCUAAAUUAUUAUAAGCUAACAAUAAAAUCUCUAUUUCCUUUGACGCAUAAUACAGUUGGUGCCAAGAAGCAAAAUAUUCCAAAGAAGCAAAAUGUUCCAGUGACCUCUAGAUUUGAUGAGGAGUUUUUGAUAAUCGAAAGCGACAAAAUGUGGGAUGUUUUUGAUGCAAGAUGGAGUACAGAUAAAAAUGUGUGUUGUUUGAUUGAGGCAUUUGAGAAUUGA
Molecule: non-coding RNA, 258 nt
Organism: Vicia faba (fava bean)
Lineage: Eukaryota; Viridiplantae; Streptophyta; Magnoliopsida; Fabales; Fabaceae
Source: the annotation of a GenBank genome assembly